This 499-nucleotide ribosomal RNA is filed under the name uncultured bacterium. Its description in RNAcentral is "partial 16S ribosomal RNA". It matches the Rfam family "Bacterial small subunit ribosomal RNA", at positions 28 to 507 of the family's 1533-position model. The record is from RNAcentral.
GACGAACGCUGGCGGCGUGCUUAACACAUGCAAGUCGAACGGGCCCGCCCCUGUUUUUGGGGGUGGGUUGAGUGGCGACCGGGUGAGUAUCACGUGAGUAACCUGCCCCCUGCUCCUGGAUAACUGCUUGAAAGGGCGGCUAAUACGGGGUGUGCCGGCUGGUCCGCAUGGGCCUGGUCGGGAUAGUUUCAUCUUCGGGUGUUUCGGUGGGGGAUGGGCUCGCGGCCUAUCAGCUUGUUGGUGGGGUGAUGGCCCACCAAGGCGGUGACGGGUAGCCGGCCUGAGAGGGUGGGCGGCCACACGGGGACUGGGACACGGCCCAGACUCGUGCGGGAGGCAGCAGUGGGGGGUAUUGCACAAUGGGCGGAAGCCUGAUGCAGCGACGUCGCGUGAGGGAUGGAGGCCUUCGGGUUGUGAACCUCUUUCUCCGGUGGUGAAGGCCCUGUCCGUUGCGGCGGGGUUGACGGUAGCCGGGUAUGAAGCGCCGGCUAACUACGUG